RNAcentral lists this ribosomal RNA (441 nucleotides) under uncultured bacterium. RNAcentral's name for it is "bacterial SSU rRNA". It matches the Rfam family "Bacterial small subunit ribosomal RNA", at positions 337 to 795 of the family's 1533-position model. The record is from RNAcentral.
UCCUACGGGUGGCAGCAGUAGGGAAUAUUGGUAAUGUGCGAAAGCGCGAACCAGCAACGCCGCGUGUGCGAUGAAGGCCUUCGGGUUGUAAAGCACUUUUUGAGGGGAUGAGGAAGGACAGUACCCUCAGAAUAAGCCUCGGCUAACUACGUGCCAGCAGCCGCGGUAAAACGUAGGAGGCGAGCGUUAUCCGGAUUUACUGGGCGUAAAGCGUGUGUAGGCGGUUUGAUAAGUUGGAUGUGAAAGCUCCUGGCUUAACUGGGAGAGGUCGUUCAAAACUAUCAGACUUGAGAGUGGUAGAGGGAGGUGGAAUUCCGGGUGUAGUGGUGAAAUGCGUAGAUAUCCGGAGGAACACCAGUGGCGAAAGCGGCCUCCUGGCCCAUUUCUGACGCUCAGACACGAAAGCUAAGGUAGCAAACGGGAUUAGAUACCCUUGUAGUC